GAACGCUAGCGACAGGCUUAACACAUGCAAGUCGAGGGGCAGCGGGAUGUAGCAAUACAUUGCCGGCGACCGGCGCACGGGUGAGUAACGCGUAUGUAACCUACCUUAUACAGGGGGAUAGCCCAUGGAAACGUGGAUUAAUAUCCCAUAGUACUGAGAAACCGCAUGGUUUUUCAGUUAAAGCUUCGGUGGUAUAAGAUGGACAUGCGUCCUAUUACGUAGUUGGUCGGGUAACGGCCUACCAAGCCAAUGAUAGGUAGGGGUUCUGAGAGGAAGGUCCCCCACACUGGUACUGAGACACGGACCAGACUCCUACCGGAGGCAGCCGUGAGGAAUAUUGGUCAAUGGGCGGAACCCCGAACCAGCCCACUCCCCUGAACGACGACUGCCCCUAUGGGUUGUCAAACUUCUUUUGUCCUGGGAGAAUAAGGAUUACGCGUACUCCGAUGACUGCACUUUCAGAAUAACCCUCCGCUACCUCCCUCGCCGCCGCCCGCGGUAAUACGGAGGAUGCGAGCGUUAUCCGGAUUUAUGGGUUUAAAAGGGUGCGUAGGCGGGUGUGUAAGUUAGUGGUCAAAUGUCAUGCUUCAACCUUGCUUUGCCAUUAAAACUGCACGACUCGAGUACAGACGAGGUAGGCGGAAUAAGUUAAGUAGCGGUGAAAUGCAUAGAUAUAACUUAGAACUCCGAUAGCGAAGGCAGCUUACCAGACUGUAACUGACGCUGAUGCACGAGAGCAUGGGUAGCGAACAGGAUUAGAUACCCUGGUAGUCCAUGCCGUAAACGAUGCUCACUGGCUCUGUGCGACACAUUGUACGGGGUCAAGCGAAAGUAUUAAGUGAGCCACCUGGGGAGUACGUCGGCAACGAUGAAACUCAAAGGAAUUGACGGGGGCCCGCACAAGCGGAGGAACAUGUGGUUUAAUUCGAUGAUACGCGAGGAACCUUACCUAGGUUUAAAUGUAGUCUGCAUGACGUAGAAAUAUGUCUUUCCUUCGGGACCGAUUACAAGGUGCUGCAUGGUUGUCGUCAGCUCGUGCCGUGAGGUGUCGGGUUAAGUCCCAUAACGAGCGCAACCCCUAUCUUUAGUUGCCAUCAGGUAGAGCUGGGCACUCUAAAGAGACUGCCACCGUAAGGUGAGAGGAAGGCGGGGAUGACGUCAAAUCAGCACGGCCCUUACACCUAGGGCUACACACGUGUUACAAUGGCCGGUACAGAGGGCAGCUACUUGGUGACAAGAUGCGAAUCUCGAAAGCCGGUCGUAGUUCGGAUUGGAGUCUGUAACCCGACUCCAUGAAGUUGGAUUCGCUAGUAAUCGCGCAUCAGCCAUGGCGCGGUGAAUACGUUCCCGGGCCUUGUACACACCGCCCGUCAAGCCAUGGAAGCCGGGGGUGCCUGAAGUCCGUAACCGCAAGGAUCGGCCUAGGGCAAAACUGGUAACUGGGGCUA
RNAcentral lists this ribosomal RNA (1448 nucleotides) under uncultured organism. RNAcentral describes it as "SSU rRNA". It matches the Rfam family "Bacterial small subunit ribosomal RNA". The record is from RNAcentral.